RNAcentral lists this ribosomal RNA (316 nucleotides) under uncultured Nitrospirota bacterium. RNAcentral's name for it is "bacterial SSU rRNA". It matches the Rfam family "Bacterial small subunit ribosomal RNA", at positions 29 to 351 of the family's 1533-position model. Lineage: Bacteria; Pseudomonadati; Nitrospirota. The record is from RNAcentral.
AGCUAACGUUGGCGGCGUGCCUAACACAUGCAAGUCGAACGCGCCGUAGCAAUACGGUGAGUGGCAGACGGGUGAGUAACACGUGGGUAAUCUCCCUCCGAGUGUGGAAUAAGCUCCCGAAAGGGGGUCUAAUACCGCAUGACGCCCUCGGGCUUAAGUCCGAGGGUUAAAGCCGCAAGGCGCUUGGAGAUGAGCCUGCGUCCUAUUAGCUAGUUGGUAGGGUAAUGGCCUACCAAGGCUUAGAUGGGUAGCCGGCCUGAGAGGGUGAACGGCCACACUGGGACUGAGACACGGCCCAGACUCCUACGGGUGGCUG